RNAcentral lists this transfer RNA (66 nucleotides) under Sinanodonta woodiana. RNAcentral's name for it is "tRNA-Asp". Lineage: Eukaryota; Metazoa; Mollusca; Bivalvia; Unionida; Unionidae. The record is from RNAcentral.
AAGGGGUUAGUCUUUGAAGAGAUGUAGGGUUGUCAACUCUAAGAAGUUAGUUCUUAACACCUCUUU